RNAcentral lists this transfer RNA (81 nucleotides) under bacterium. RNAcentral describes it as "tRNA-Leu". It matches the Rfam family "tRNA". From Rfam's summary of the family: Transfer RNA (tRNA) molecules are approximately 80 nucleotides in length. The record is from RNAcentral.
GCCCGGGUGGUGGAAUGGUAUACACGAUCGACUUAAGAUCGAUUGCCGCAAGGCAUGCGAGUUCGACUCUCGCCCCGGGCA